CGCGGCCUAUCAGCUUGUUGGUGGGGUAGUGGCUUACCAAGGCUUUGACGGGUAGCCGGCCUGAGAGGGUGACCGGCCACAUUGGGACUGAGAUACGGCCCAGACUCCUACGGGAGGCAGCAGUGGGGAAUAUUGCACAAUGGGCGGAAGCCUGAUGCAGCAACGCCGCGUGCGGGAUGACGGCCUUCGGGUUGUAAACCGCUUUCGCCUGUGACGAAGCGUGAGUGACGGUAAUGGGUAAAGAAGCACCGGCUAACUACGUGCCAGCAGCCGCGGUGAUACGUAGGGUGCGAGCGUUGUCCGGAUUUAUUGGGCGUAAAGGGCUCGUAGGUGGUUGAUCGCGACGGAAGUGUAAUCUUGGGGCUUAACCCUGAGCGUGCUUUCGAUACGGGUUGACUUGAGGAAGGUAGGGGAGAAUGGAAUUCCUGGUGGAGCGGUGGAAUGCGCAGAUAUCAGGAGGAACACCAGUGGCGAAGGCGGUUCUCUGGGCCUUUCCUGACGCUGAGGAGCGAAAGCGUGGGGAGCGAACAGGCUUAGAUACCCUGGUAGUCCACGCUGUAAACGGUGGGUACUAGGUGUGGGGUCCAUUCCACGGGUUCCGUGCCGUAGCUAACGCUUUAAGUACCCCGCCUGGGGAGUACGG
RNAcentral lists this ribosomal RNA (643 nucleotides) under uncultured bacterium. Its description in RNAcentral is "bacterial SSU rRNA". It matches the Rfam family "Bacterial small subunit ribosomal RNA", at positions 232 to 885 of the family's 1533-position model. The record is from RNAcentral.